AAUAAUAAGAAUAUUAUUAAACUAACUGAGAAUGCCGAAACGGCUACAAAACCCUAAGAGGCUACAUUGUGAAUGACUUGAUAUUCUAUGAGCUACAAAGCACCAUAUAUAUAGAGAACUAACAUAACUAUAAUAAGCAAGAAAACGAAACCCUAAUACUAAUGGGCUAAGCCCAAAUUCAAACAAUAAAAUAAAUAACUAUUUUCCAACAGUUUCAAACACUCUUCAUUCCUCCUACUGUUUACCCUUCUUCAUCCCUCGUUUCAUUGACGUAUAGGGGAAUGUACUUCCCCUCUACGCUGCACAGAAAAAACAAAAAAACUAAAUCCAAAACAGUUAUCAAACUCGCCCAUUGUGUUCUGAUUUUGGAGUGUAACAAAGUUUGCUAUUGUUUUCAGUAACCUACACGCAGCCCUAGCGGAAUUACCCUCUAUGGACGGACGAGUGGUCGGGGGCUCGUUAGCACUAUCUGCUUCUUUGAGGUGACACUAGCUCUUUUCGUGAUUGGGAAGACGAUAACGUUCACGACUCGAUGAUUUAUGUUCGGGGUUCUGAUGAUUUCUGCUGUUCUUUUGAGGCAGUUGCAGCUCACCUGUUAGACUUCUGCUGCAUUCUGUUUCGUCAAGCACAACAUUUACAACACCCAGUGAAAUAUACGGAAAAAGUCAUUCAUGUUCGGCUAGAAAUAUCGAAACUGCCAGAUGUAAGGAAGACGGUUGCAAAGGGAAAUCGAAGAAAAAAGAAAUCUACUGCUGCUUUCGUAUUAAGUAAUCUGCAUUACAAAUUAAUACUUAUACACUGCCGCGAUUCGCAAGAUGGAUUACAGAAUUUUGACAUGAUUACCUUUCAAAAAUCUUACUGUAAUGCUGAGAAGAGAAUAUAUCCAUCACGGUGACUCUUUGCAUGGGCAAAAUGUUGUGUUUGGCUCAUAUAAUUAUGAGUUGGCAACCAUUUCCUCUCAACUUUGUGGACUUUGGAAGCAUGUUUUGUGGAAGCAUGUUUUGUGGAAGCAUGUUUUGUGGAAGCAUGUUUUGAGGAAGCAUGUUUUGUGG
RNAcentral lists this long non-coding RNA (1052 nucleotides) under Malus domestica (apple). RNAcentral's name for it is "long non-coding RNA (MDOM_LNC006247)". The record is from RNAcentral. Lineage: Eukaryota; Viridiplantae; Streptophyta; Magnoliopsida; Rosales; Rosaceae.